Molecule: long non-coding RNA, 897 nt
Organism: Drosophila yakuba
Lineage: Eukaryota; Metazoa; Arthropoda; Insecta; Diptera; Drosophilidae
Exons: 2
Source: RefSeq, a predicted model, not a curated record
GCCAGGAGGCACGCGUCAAAUUCUCAAUCCUCCCCUGCAUUGAAUGGAACUUUUUAUGCCUAAUUGAAAUGGCGAGAAGUACUUGUGGGGUGAAUAACUCCUUUGAAAGUCAGGACAACAGGUUGAGGUUCCUUGUGGGGGAAAGAAGGCCCGACUCCAGGAAUUUUAAAUCAUGGCGACAAUUUGGAGAGAUCCGAAAACGGUAAGCAAAUUGGCACAGACUUGUUAGCCCGGCUCGCUGGCAUUUCAGGCAUCUUAAGUACGCCCACCAGAACAUGUAAAUAGAGUUUCGGUAUCGAGGAGGGAGCUUGGUAUGCAAUUUGCUCAUUUGACACUUGAAAUAUGUGGCAACAAUACGAGAGGAGGAACAGGAAAUUUUUUCGCAUUUCGCGUUUCGCAUUCGCAAUUGCAAUUGCAAUCGAAAUGGCCAUGUCUGCGGCUCUAUAGGCAAAUGUCAGCCAACAACCUCGUCGCAGGCGGUGACAAUGACAGGUAAAGGGGGCCUGCGGGGCUUCGAUGGACAUCGGGCUAACUGGCGACGACAAGUGGACAAGCCAGCUCCUAGCUGCGAGCUGCGAGCUGCCUCUGGAUCAGGCUGUCUAUCUGUAGGUCUGUCUGGCAGCCCCUGAUCGCCGGGAUGAACUCUGAACCUGUACAAAAUAUGCGGCCAACUUGUUUCCAAUGCACGCCCCGAGGAGCAGGCAGCAACGCCCCCAACUCGCCACGGCAUCUGGAUGUUGGCCACCCUGUGGAAGACAGAGUCUCUGGACAUUUGAAGAAGGAAAACAGGCGGAAAAAACUGCUGAUUUUAUAUUAGGUGAUACAUAACAUUAAAAUAAGCAAGGCGAAUCUCUACACGCGUUAAAUGUAAACUCUAUAAAAUCCUUUUAAGUGGAA